AGAAAAAGAAAUUACUGCAAUCUUAGCAGCUUAAAACAACACUCAUUUAUUAUCUCAUAGUUCCUGUAGGAUAGGAGCUUGGCUGUGGCUUAGCUGGGUCCUCUGGUCAAGGUUACAAAGCUGCAUUCAAAAUGCUGACUGGGCUGCAUUUCUUUCUGGAACUUGGGAUCCUAAUCUAAGCUCCCAUGGUCGUUGGCAGGGUUUAGUUCCUUGUGGUUGUAGGACUGAAGCCCACUCCCAGAGGCUGUCUGUAGUUCCCUGCCACUUGGCCCUCUCCACGGGCAGUUCAUAUCAUAGCAUCUUGCUUCUUCAAGGCCGGCUACAGAUUUUCUCUCUCAAGCCUCUAAGAUAGAGUGUUAUAUAGUACAGUAUGAUCAUGUGCAUGACAUUUUGAGAUUUCACCUGAAAAAUCUAGAUCUUUCAGCAAUGUUGGACCCACAUUCUCACUGGCAGACUGCUGGGAGGAGCUGAAUAGUACCAGCCAUUAGUCACUUGGACAAGAAAGGACUUUAAUUUUCUUUAGGGUUCCUGCCUUCCAUGGAUGCUGCAUCUGCACUGCCACAGCUGCUUCAUUGGCUGUUGUGGGCAUUGGCAUUUGUGACACAGGAUUACGUUCUUUUAAAAUUUUUUUUCUUUUUUGGCCUCAUCCCUAACAUGCAGACAUUCCCAGGUCAGAGAUCAAACCCACGGCACAAGCAGUGAUCCAAGCCACAGAAGAGACACCAGAUCUUUCACCUGCUGAGCCAGCAGGGAACUCAGGAUUACAUUUUCGAAGAAACUGAGGAAGUGUAUGACUCCAGAAAAUGGAAUAAGGAGGAUGUGACUGAAGAAAAGGGGUGUGGAAAGCCUCACUCUAGGCCAACUUGAUGCUAUCAUUACACUAUUAUGGUUGGAAAUGGGAGAAUUUUAAGCAGCCUGACACAAAUGCUGAUUGUUGUAAAGCUUUGUGAUUAAAAACACAUGAGAUUUA
This is a long non-coding RNA of Phacochoerus africanus (Common warthog), 970 nucleotides long. RefSeq lists it as uncharacterized. The record is from RefSeq and is a predicted model, not a curated record. NCBI's taxonomy places the organism in Eukaryota, Metazoa, Chordata, Mammalia, Artiodactyla, Suidae. The transcript is spliced from 2 exons.